UACGUAAGGUCCGAGCGUUGUCCGGAAUUAUUGGGCGUAAAGGGUACGUAGGCGGAUAAGCAAGUUAGAAGUGAAAUCCUAUGGCUCAACUAUAGUAAGCUUUUAAAACUGCUCAACUUGAGGUAUGGAAGGGAGAGUGGAAUUCCUAGUGUAGCGGUGAAAUGCGUAGAUAUUAGGAGGAAUACCGGUGGCGAAGGCGGCUCUCUGGCCAUAAACUGACGCUGAGGUGCGAAAGCGUGGGUAGCAAACAGG
This 252-nucleotide ribosomal RNA is filed under the name uncultured bacterium. RNAcentral's name for it is "partial 16S ribosomal RNA". It matches the Rfam family "Bacterial small subunit ribosomal RNA", at positions 524 to 776 of the family's 1533-position model. The record is from RNAcentral.